RNAcentral lists this ribosomal RNA (497 nucleotides) under uncultured bacterium. RNAcentral describes it as "partial 16S ribosomal RNA". It matches the Rfam family "Bacterial small subunit ribosomal RNA", at positions 28 to 507 of the family's 1533-position model. The record is from RNAcentral.
GAUGAACGCUGGCGGCGUGCCUAAUACAUGCAAGUCGAGCGAACGGACGAGAAGCUUGCUUCUCUGAUGUUAGCGGCGGACGGGUGAGUAACACGUGGAUAACCUACCUAUAAGACUGGGAUAACUUCGGGAAACCGGAGCUAAUACCGGAUAAUAUUUUGAACCGCAUGGUUCAAAAGUGAAAGACGGUCGUGCGGUCACUUAUAGAUGGAUCCGCGCUGCAUUAGCUAGUUGGUAAGGUAACGGCUUACCAAGGCAACGAUGCAUAGCCGACCUGAGAGGGUGAUCGGCCACACUGGAACUGGGACACGGUCCAGACUCCUACGGGAGGCAGCAGUCGGGAAUCUUCCGCAAUGGGCGAAAGCCUGACGGAGCAACGCCGCGUGAGUGAUGAAGGUCUUCGGAUCGUAAAACUCUGUUAUUAGGGAAGAACCUAUGUGUAAGUAACUGUGCACAUCUUGACGGUACCUAAUCAGAAAGCCACGGCUAACUACGUG